RNAcentral lists this ribosomal RNA (872 nucleotides) under uncultured bacterium. RNAcentral describes it as "bacterial SSU rRNA". It matches the Rfam family "Bacterial small subunit ribosomal RNA", at positions 8 to 796 of the family's 1533-position model. The record is from RNAcentral.
AGAGUUUGAUCAUGGCUCAGAACGAACGCUGGCGGCGCGUUUUAAGCAUGCAAGUCGAACGAGAACCCCUCACCAUUUUUCCGCAGCGGGAGCUGCAAGUUGCGGAACGAGUGACUGACAGGAGCGGCAAGAUGUUCCUGGGAAAAAUGGUGAGGGGGGAAAGUGGCGCACGGGUGAGUAACGCGUAGGUGAUCUACCCUUGGGUUGGGGAUAGCUCAUGGAAACAUGAGAUAAUACCGGAUACGAUCCUUGCCGCGAGGCAGGGAGGAAAGCUCCUUUACGGGGGCGCCCGAGGAUGAGCCUGCGUUUCAUUAGCUAGUUGGUAGGGUAACGGCCUACCAAGGCGACGAUGGAUAGCCGGCCUGAGAGGGUGAACGGCCACACUGGGACUGAGACACGGCCCAGGCUCCUACGGGAGGCAGCAGCUAAGAAUCUUCUGCAAUGGGCGAAAGCCUGACAGAGCGACGCCGCGUGAACGAUGAAGGCCGCAAGGUUGUAAAGUUCUUUUCUUUGUGAGGAAUAAGGGUGAGAGGAAAUGCUCAUCUGAUGACGUAAGCGAAGGAAUAAGCCCCGGCCAAUUACGUGCCAGCAGCCGCGGUAAUACGUAUGGGGCGAGCGUUGUUCGGAAUCAUUGGGCGUAAAGGGCGUGUAGGCGGCUUGGCAAGCUUGGUGAAAGGUCACGGCUUAACCGUGAAUGUGCGCUGAGAACUGCCAGGCUGGAGUUUUGGGGGGGAAGCUGGAAUUCCUGGUGUAGGGGUGAAAUCUGUAGAUAUCAGGAAGAACACCGAUGGCGAAGGCAAGCUUCUAUCCAAAGACUGACGCUGAGGCGCGAAAGUGUGGGGAGCGAACAGGAUUAGAUACCCUAGUAGUCC